RNAcentral lists this ribosomal RNA (438 nucleotides) under Diaphera wilfordii ectyphus. RNAcentral describes it as "partial 16S ribosomal RNA". It matches the Rfam family "Bacterial large subunit ribosomal RNA", at positions 1828 to 2595 of the family's 2925-position model. The record is from RNAcentral. Lineage: Eukaryota; Metazoa; Mollusca; Gastropoda; Stylommatophora; Diapheridae.
AGCUUAAUGAAUAUAAAUAUUAAGUUUUUCCUGCCCAGUGAUUAAUAUUUAACGGCCGCAGUACUUUGACUGUGCUAAGGUAGCAUAAUAAUUUGGCUUUUAAUUUAAGUCUAGCAUGAAAGGAAUCAUGGGGGAUAUUUUUCUUUAUUUUAAUUUGUAAAAAUUAUUUAUAAGGUGAAAAUACCUUAGUUUAGAGGAAAGACGAGAAGACCCUAAGAAUUUUACUUUUAAAAACUUAAUCUUAGAAGUUUUGUUGGGGUGACAAGUUAACAAUUUAACUUAACUAAUAUAGACUAUUACAGGCCGAUUUAUAGUAAGUAUGAAAAAAUUACCUUAGGGAUAACAGCGUAAUUUUUUUUAAGAUUGCGACCUCGAUGUUGGAUUAGGGACUUAAUGAUAAGCAAUCUAUUAAGAUAGCUCUGUUCGAGCUUUGUACCU